CCAAGCCAUUUUGUCCUCAAAGCCCCACUGCAACAUUAUGUCCAAAUUUCAAUACAACGUCCUUUAUCAUCAAUACAGCACACAAAAAAUGUAAAUAAAAUAAAGUCAACUAAACAGAGCGAAAGAGGACUAUUUUGGGUUGAUGGCAGCUAGAACUUCAGUUUCACUUUCCGUUUCCGACGGACCCGUUACAUCGGCGCACCGCUGAGGGGAAAAAACACAACACCUGGGUGGACACCAUGGCAUCUAAAUAGACAAACAAGUCUGAGAAAGACGUCAAAGAAAGGACAGUUCAGCACAUAAUUCAACCAAGAGACGCUGCUGUUGCCACUCGAUGAAUCCUCGCGGUGUGAGAGGAGUGAUGAUGCAGGCAGCACCAAAUGAGCCAGGGUCGGCUCCACAGAACACCAAGACUGCCAUCCCAUGGUGGAAGAGGGAAGUCGUCUUCCCCUCUGAGACGCUCCAUACAGACAGCAGGAUGUGGCACAGUCGCUAAAAUAGGAGUUAUUCUCCGUCCGUUGCAUUCAUCUUACAGGUCGAGCACAAUUCCACCGAGUCUGUUUCUCUUUCUGUAUAAUGAAGGACUGUGAUGGUGCUUUAUCACCUGAACAUCCUCAUCCCCAACAUUAGCUCAGAUAUAAUGAGGGUUACUCAGAGGACGGGGGCCCUCUCUGCAGCAUGAUAAAGGACCCGAGAGUGCGCCAGUGACACUGCAUCGGUCAUUAGCCUGGCUCACUUUGCCCUUUCAUAUAUUUCUAAAUAACUGCCUUCCUGUGGGUUUAACGGACCACCUAAUCUGCCUACUUAGAGGUAAAGGGGGGGAAAGAGUGGAAAUCCGAAGAGGUGAGUGUCACGCAGGUAAAUGUGCUUAUCAGAGCUGUGACAUGUUUAGCCUCUCUGGUGGAAAUGCUGUCACGGGCUCUAAAAGAAAAAAACCCCUCAGUGGGUUUCACCAGCGAUAUAAACUGGGGAGGGAUUAGUGUGUUUUACGUGAGGCCUGCAGUAAAUGUGGAACAGUGGCAGCCAUUAAAAUCCCCACAAGCGCUUUCUCUCUGCACUCCCCCUUUAAGUUAAGAAUUCACCUGGCAUAGGCCAGUCUGAUCAAUACUUGUAAAUAAACAAUUCUCUCCAAAAGACCGGAGAAGUAACAGUCUUAUCUUUGGCGCUGUUAAGAUGCACAGCCCGGAGCCGCUGCAGUGCCAACAAAUGGACGAUUGAUUUGACACCGGGGACGUGUGAGGGUCGUCAAAACGAAAGGGGCUUAGUGCUACAACGGCGCUGGAAAAGAUGAACUUUAAAUUCCUGAGAUAAUUCAGAAAAAAAAUUGAAAAUAUCACAGAAAAUCAUCCAUCCCUGCAGGAAUACCACGGCAGAUUUUAAAAUAAAGCCGAACAAGGUCACUAUAAAGUUUUGAGUAGCAGAGACACAAAUAAGUCCCUAUAGGAAAAACUACAGGAAUGUAAAAGCAUUUUAAAGUGAAUUUUGAAUCCUCUAGGCAGGCAAACUACUUUCUCAUGUUCAGCGGUGGAAGACGUAGAAGUUACAGUGUGUCCACAGACUUAAAUUUAAUGAUUUUUAACCUGAUUGAAAUGAUUCACCCAAAAAGGAAAAUGUAGUCCUUAUCUUCUCACAGCCAUGUGGAGGGAAAGUGUGGAUGAUGUUUCGUAGUCCAUCAAACAAUUUUUGGAGCUUGGCAACAAAAUAGUGUUGCUGCAUUCUCCUGAACAACUGAGGUAAGCUGGGGACUCGUUUUAACACAAUGUUUGAUUCCUGGACUUUCACAGACUCGGACUACACAUUUUUACAUUUAGAAAAGCUGCAGCUCUGUUUUGAAGCUUUAGAAGUGUUUCAUGGACCACAAAACAUCACCAGACUUUCUAUCCACAUAGGGGUGAGUAGAUGACUUGCUUUUCAAUUUUGGGUGAACUUAUCCUUCAAGACUGAUUUGAUUUGACCGUUAUUUCUCUCUUAUUUAAGCAGCACGGGUAAGUAUAUAUAUGUAUAUAUGUGGCCUUGUGCAGAGGUAGAUUUUAUGUAGGGAUAUGGUGACAGGUAAAUGCAAGUAUAAAGCAAGAACAACAACAUAAGGUUUGUGUCAGGUUUGAAAGAUUUGUAUUAUCAUAAACGUGGACUUUCACGCGAAGGAGCUCGACUCAUAUUGACAAAUAAAUAUAGAGAUGGAUUUAAGAAAUGAGAUCAUAUGUUUGUGGAUAUUUAACUUUAAGACUAUUUGAAUUUUAUGGCGCAGAAUGCAUCAAACAUACUGAGUUACUGUUAUUUCCUCUCUUUUACAAACCAGAGGGAGGACACAGAAUAAUUUCAGUGAUAUAUGAUGAGUCUUAGCCUGGCGGUGUAGUCAGCCAUGCUUUCACAUUGUGAAAUGAGUUCCACUGACCCGGCCACCCACAGGGGUUCAGCAAUGAGAGCCCACAUCUGGUUCUUCCUAAGGAUGAAGUUACACUCAUCCUGCCAUGUAAGAUAAGCCUGUAGGGUUAAUAAGAAACGGUGCCGGUAUAUCACCGUCAAAUUCAAGGAAACAGGCCUUUGGCACCCCUUUCUAGAUGGCAGAGGAACAAUCAAUGCAAAGUGUGUAACUGCUGGGUUAUUUGACUAAACUGGGGCACAGAAUGCCUCGAAGGGAACAGGAAAUGACAACCGUAACAUUUCACUCCUGUGGCUAGUGCCAGAGUAACUGUACUGUGUCGAUACAAUAAGUAGAGAGGGCAGGUCUGUUACCUCCAGCAGCCAGCAGAGGGCAACAUGCAGCACUAAGUCCACUGAUGAGGGCUAAUUCACUUCCAAUUUAAUCAGUUUCUAAAUUCAAUUAGAUCAAAUGUAAAUCAUCAUCUGUUGCUAUGGCGCUAAUAGAAAAUUCUGAUUUGGAAAACACACGCACAUUAUGCUUCAAGGGUUUCCGGAGACAAAAUAAUGUCCACUAUUUACAAAGGAGAAAAAAAAGCAUUUAUUCGACAACACGCGCUGCAGAGCAAUAAAAGCAUACUCACAGCUGGAGGAAGUAAAGGAACAGGGGAGGACAAGUUACAAAGAAAUGUUUCAGGCAGUGGUACAAACAUCUUGUUCAUUGUAGCACUUGAUUAAACAGUUAAGAAGUUGGCUCUCUCGUCAAAGCUUCACGCACGCCGACACAGAAAGGUUGUGGGAUUUUCUGGUAAAUGCACAUACACUCUGUUAAUUAACAUACAUACUGUACAUCCACAAACAUAGUUUGAUUUUUCUGUGAGUGUAUGUGUGUGUGUGUGUGAUUUUGUUGGCACAAACUGUUUAAAAAUGACUCCAACAUGAAGUCCACUUCUUAGGUAUCUGAAAUGUAGUGCAUGUUAUUCAAAAGACCAAAGCAUAAUAAGAAAAUCUGAACUCUUGAGGGUAAUGACACGCUGUUGAUUUUUAAAAGUUUGAUGGCCUCCUGGAUUGUCAACACCUAUCGCACAGUACAGACUCCAAAUUCAACAGUCGUGUAAAACAGGAAGUUGUCUGAACUGUGAGAGGGGCUGGAUUACAGAAACAUGGCAGAGCACCAUUGAGAAAAACAGGUCUACUCU
Molecule: long non-coding RNA, 3560 nt
Organism: Acanthopagrus latus (yellowfin seabream)
Lineage: Eukaryota; Metazoa; Chordata; Actinopteri; Spariformes; Sparidae
Exons: 2
Source: RefSeq, a predicted model, not a curated record